UUCCCAUGUUGAGGACACUUCCUUAAGUACUCCUUAUACCACUCCUAUACUUUGUACAAGGUUUCAGACUCCAUCUGCCAAAAAGAAGAUAUGUCAUUUCUGAGCUU
Molecule: small nucleolar RNA, 107 nt
Organism: Dioscorea cayenensis subsp. rotundata (Guinea yam)
Lineage: Eukaryota; Viridiplantae; Streptophyta; Magnoliopsida; Dioscoreales; Dioscoreaceae
Source: RefSeq, a predicted model, not a curated record